GAAUGUUUGAAAUAGAAAAAGGGAAAAUCAUGCCAGUAUACAGUAGCUACAGACUUUUUCUUUUACAUAGAAAGAGGAGUUUGACAUGCAUUUAUUUUAUGGCUUGGAAUUUUGAAAAUUUGCAUAAAAACUUUUACAAACAUCAAUCCUCUAUCUCAUUUUCAAGAUUGUCAUUUAUAGUCUUGACCAUCAAGCAGACUGGUACCAUAUGCAAUGCAACAAAACAAGUCAAUAACUUGAAAUUCAAAAGCCAUUUUGAGAUGAUGGUAUAAACCUUACUAUUUUUCUUCAUUAUUUUAUGCUUCACUUGCUUUUUCAACAUCACUUUCCUCCCCCCUCCCCUCCCCCCCAAAAAAAAAUCCGCUAUCAUGUUUAUUUCAGGAUGAUCCAUGAGGGGUUUUACUAUGUAAAUGUGACAUGCUAAAAUUGGUGACAUGUUUAGAAAUGUGCCAGAGCAUUUCAAUUUAAUAUCACCAAAAAGGAUACCUUAUGGUCACCAUUUCAUAGAGCACAUUUUUUUUUGCAUAUCCAGAUACUACAAAAGUGUGUGUUAUUUUACGAAACGACAAGCCUGUCUAAAAAUUGUAAAAUAACACUGUUCUUGUAGACUUUCUUUCUAAAUGAUUUCUUGAGAUAUUUUGCUUCAUUGAUCAUUAGAAUAUAAAGAAUGGAAUAAAUCUAACAUUGAUGAAUCGUAAAAAAAAUAUUUUACUUUUUAUUGAAAUUGAGAUAAAAUUUCAGUUGCGCAGACUUAGAUCUAGAUCUAGGCAAUACAGCCUACGUAUGAUUGGGGGGGGGGGGGGGUCCGUUGUCCGGAUACUUAUAUAGACCCUAGACUCUAACGUUAGGCCCUACAAAAACUUAACGACUGUCCAGCCCGCACUUCGUGUGUAUGGGCUGCAGUAUGUAACGACGGUCGUUAGGCACGUUAGGAACGCUCACAAAAAUACCAAAAUUGCCCAAUUGGUAACAAGACUUGGCUUAAAUGAGAGCUUGAUAAUCAUGCGUCACAAUUCUGGAAACAAAUAUCUGUGAAAAAUGUAUUAUUUGAUGUUUUCUACAAGUCAAUUGUCUAUGACUAUGGCGAAAUUGCGACUCAGAAAAAUCGCACACGCAAUUUUGCCAUUCACGUGAAUGGCAAAAUUGCGCAUGCGAUUUUUCUGAGGUUGACUAUUCCCAACUUGAUAAAACACCCGUUUUGCUGCCAUAUAAUUAGUUAUUCUAAUAAAGUUAGCAUACUUAACACCAAAUGAACUUACCCUCCAAUAUUCGUUUAGUAUCUUCGGCCUUCGUGCCCAGUA
Long non-coding RNA from Lytechinus variegatus (green sea urchin), 1301 nucleotides. RefSeq lists it as uncharacterized. The record is from RefSeq and is a predicted model, not a curated record. NCBI's taxonomy places the organism in Eukaryota, Metazoa, Echinodermata, Echinoidea, Temnopleuroida, Toxopneustidae. The transcript is spliced from 2 exons.